UAUCCAGCAAUGGGAACGGUU
Molecule: non-coding RNA, 21 nt
Filed under: Caenorhabditis elegans
Lineage: Eukaryota; Metazoa; Nematoda; Chromadorea; Rhabditida; Rhabditidae
Source: RNAcentral